This 1489-nucleotide long non-coding RNA is filed under the name Equus caballus (horse). RNAcentral describes it as "lncRNA (ENSECAG00000052754.1)". Lineage: Eukaryota; Metazoa; Chordata; Mammalia; Perissodactyla; Equidae. The record is from RNAcentral.
UAAAAGCAACUCUGACCAUUUAUAAAAGAUAGAACCAAAAAUGGUGUUUACAUACCCAUUUCAGCUAAAAACCCCAGUGGAGCUUGGAGUGUGUCUUCAGGACAAGCAGCAUCAGCAUCACCUGGGAACUUGUUAGAUAUGCAGAUUCUUAGGAUGCAUCCCAGACCUAACGAAUAAACCUCUCCAGGUGGAGCCCAGCCAGCUGGUUUAACAAGCCCUCCAGGUGAUUCGAAUGCACACUGAAGUCUGAGAACCACUGCUUUAAGGUAAGUUGAGAAAGCCUUGCAGAAGUGUCUCAAAAUGUCACCUGCAGCUGUAGCUAUAGGAAGCUCACGGGGUUCCACACACCCACAAGUGGUGGCAGUUCAUACAGAGUUCUUAACAGCUCUGACCGAGGCAGGAGACUAAUUAUCAAAGAAGGAGCUUCUGGGUCUCUCACAGGAGACAGGCUCUACGUUGCAAAAAUGGGCCACCAACAGCGCUUCCCCACAUGCUGGAAGAAAUGACAAGAAACUGAAUGAGCUUUUAACCCCCAGAUAUACUAGCCUGCACGUUUGAUCAUUCAGCAGGGUAGAGUUGCCCCACCACUAAAAAAGGACGUUAACAGGAAAAUAGAAGUAAACGAGCAAAUAGAAAAAAAACAGUAUUUCAAGGACAGCCAUUUAGAAAAUGACUUGAUGGAAUGAGAAUAAGACGCCCGAGCACUUUAUCACCAAUUAUCCUAAGGAGACAAUGACUAUAUUUACUCGUCUAUAUUUUCCCCUGCCUUAUUCCUGCCUCUAUUUUGAGAAGAAAAUGAAGAAAAACGUUUCCCCUGAGUUCCCUUAAGCUCACACUUUUUCGACUAACAAUGUUUGCGACAGCCAGGAGGCUCCUUGUGAGUCUAGAACACCAGUCUCUUAAAGUAGAGCAGAACACUUGCCCUUCCCGCUUUGUUUUGUUGUUGUUCUGUUUUGUUUUCAUUUUUUUAAUGUACCUUCUCCUUUCCAAGUCAAGCGAGAGAUUAAACUGAAGUCCUGAGUGGAGCUCCGUUCAUGAUUGGAGGGCAACAAAAAGGAACAUGUGCACAUUUCACUAUUUCUCCUUCUUACCUGACAUUUUCCUGCCUGAAAAAAGACAAAGAAAAAUGGUUUCAAAAUUGUCUUGAACAAUGGAAACAUUGUUAAAAUGAGUGCAAAAAGAAAAACUUAGGCUUACAGAUCCAUAAUUUAAUUACUUUCAACCUAGAAAAUACAUCUCUGUUCUGUUCUGCCUAAUACUGUAUUCUCUACACAUAGCUUCGUCCUGACAGUUACACCCACAGAAAUAAAACUAUUUGACAGCAUUUUUAUGACCUUCAACAAAAGCAAACAUUUGAAUUAUCUUAAGUUGCUGGGCACUUCGGAUACUCACGUCUAUCCAUUUGUGUAUUUCUAGCACGUAGCAGGUGCUGAAUAUAUUUUUAUCUUUUUAAUUCUAUUCCAUGAACUGGGCACUAAGUUUUUAUUUU